Molecule: ribosomal RNA, 134 nt
Filed under: Providencia rettgeri
Lineage: Bacteria; Pseudomonadati; Pseudomonadota; Gammaproteobacteria; Enterobacterales; Morganellaceae
Description: partial 23S ribosomal RNA
Rfam family: Bacterial large subunit ribosomal RNA
Source: RNAcentral
CCUUGAGAUGAGUCUUCCCUGACUCUUUAAGGGUCCUAAAGGAACGUUUAAGACUAAGACGUUGAUAGGUUGGGUGUGUAAGCGUAGCGAUACGUUGAGCUAACCAAUACUAAUGAACCGUGAGGCUUAACCUG